AAAGUCGUAACAAGGUCUCCGUUGGUGAACCAGCGGAGGGAUCAUUGCUGGAACGCGCUUCGGCGCACCCAGAAACCCUUUGUGAACUUAUACCCAAACUGUUGCCUCGGCGCAGGCCGGCCUCUUUCGUUAGGGGCCCCCUGGAGACAGGGAGCAGCCCGCCGGCGGCCAACCAAACUCUGUUUCUAUAUUGAAUCUCUGAGUAAAAAACAUAAAUGAAUCAAAACUUUCAACAACGGAUCUCUUGGUUCUG
RNAcentral lists this unclassified non-coding RNA (253 nucleotides) under Ascomycota sp. Its description in RNAcentral is "partial contains small subunit ribosomal RNA, internal transcribed spacer 1, and 5.8S ribosomal RNA". The stretch from base 1 to 47 matches the Rfam family "Eukaryotic small subunit ribosomal RNA", at positions 1785 to 1831 of the family's 1831-position model. Lineage: Eukaryota; Fungi; Ascomycota. The record is from RNAcentral.